ACAUUUCAAUAACCAUUUCGCUCUAAACCUGCGCUGCUGCCACUACCACGAACUCGAGUAAACUUCCCAGUAGUAUGGUCCAUAAUCCUGCGAUAAAUGUUGCCCUUGAAGAAGAGAUGCCUCUUGUCCUCGAUAGCAUUUAGGCAGAGACAGCCAAAUUGAGGCCCAAUCUUUGAGCCCUGCAAUCAAGAGGCAGCUAGCUCUUGGCAGAUCAGAAGCCGGCCAAAUACGCUCCCGCCAUUUAUCAGCUACCGCAUUGGCCAUUAUACCUUCGAAUAAUGCUCUUACGGUCCACAGUCCAGACCCGAAUAUCCCCCACUUGGUGACCAAGGGUCGGAAGAGUAACUACAAAAAUGUUGAAUCCCACUCCAUCUCCAAAAGUAUGUCAUGGAUUGAGAUGGAUUUGGUGGCUUCAAUGAGCGAGUAUUUCUCACCAGGAAUCAGAGCUAAGAGCCAGAGCAUGGCACGCAUCAAGCCAGAACUUCGCAUGCAUACCAUUGUGAACUUCUUUCUCAUUUGAUAAGAGAUCUGAUGCUUUUCCAUGCUGCAAAAGUGUGACGCCACGCAGGGGAAUGGUUGUUGAAAAUUGAUCCAGCACAACAUUCUCCCCAAAAUGAAGUUGGCCCCCAGUAUUGGGGAAUAGCCGGCUAAGGACGUAAUCCGACCAAAAAGACAUGCCAGCAUGAGAAAACAUCUUUUGCCUCCAACAUGAUAAAUGUUUCCCCACUUUAACAAACAAGCAAAGGGGAGAGCAGAUGAUGCUUUCAAGGAGAUCACUAGUGAGCAACGGCAUGCCCAGGUAGGUAAAAUGCUGCAUCUGGUAGGACCAACCAAAGGUGGUUGUCAUAGCAUGGAUUCUUGAAGAUGAAAGAUUAAACCCAGUGAAAUUGAUGAUCGAACCUGAGCAGUUCUGAAAGUUGGCGAGAGCAUUGCAAAUUCCUUGUACUUCGCUUGUUAAUAAACACAAAAAGCAAAAUAAUAUAGUAGCCCUUCCUGUUUCUCUUCUUCACCUCCGUCGCCCGAGCCUUUCUGUUUCUCUCCCCCAUCUCUUCUUCUCCUUCGUCGUCUACACGGAUUCUAUUCGUUUCCUCUUGCUGCAGCUCAUCAACCGGCGUCCUCGAGCAGCUCCUCAGUAGGGCAUUUUCCAGCGGCUCCUGGGCGGCGGCUUGCCAUGGGAUUUGGUGAGAAAUGCACGCCAAGAGGUCACUGUACAUUCGGAUCUAGGCUGCACGAUAAUUCCUAGCCAUGUUUGUGAAGUUUCAGGCUGAACAAGGAUGGCCGAACAUUGAAAUUUAUAAAGAUUGAUCUUUGUAGACAAGGGCAUUUCUGUAGAAAGCAUGGGCUUCAAAUAUUGAAUAAUAUACUAUUUAUAAACUACUACCGGAAUCUUAGAUGCAUCACUUUUGGUUCAACAUGGCGAACUGGUUUCAGUUUGUUUGUCUAUUUUCUUCAUUAAUGAAAAAACAAGUUGUUUUGGGUCUUA
Long non-coding RNA from Nymphaea colorata (pocket water lily), 1483 nucleotides. RefSeq lists it as uncharacterized. The record is from RefSeq and is a predicted model, not a curated record. The transcript has 2 exons. Lineage: Eukaryota; Viridiplantae; Streptophyta; Magnoliopsida; Nymphaeales; Nymphaeaceae.